CAUGGGCGCAGCCUGGAUGCAGCAACGCCGCGGUGAGGGACGAAGGCCUUCGGGUUGUAAACCUCUUUUAGCAGGGAAGAAGCGAAAGUGACGGUACCUGCAGAAAAAGCACCGGCUAACUACGUGCCAGCAGCCGCGGUAAUACGA
This 147-nucleotide ribosomal RNA is filed under the name Agrococcus jenensis. RNAcentral describes it as "16S ribosomal RNA". It matches the Rfam family "Bacterial small subunit ribosomal RNA", at positions 370 to 528 of the family's 1533-position model. Lineage: Bacteria; Bacillati; Actinomycetota; Actinomycetes; Micrococcales; Microbacteriaceae. The record is from RNAcentral. RNAcentral also lists the same sequence under 1 other name.